Molecule: ribosomal RNA, 440 nt
Filed under: uncultured bacterium
Lineage: Bacteria
Description: partial 16S ribosomal RNA
Rfam family: Bacterial small subunit ribosomal RNA
Source: RNAcentral
CCUACGGGGGGCAGCAGUGGGGAAUAUUGCACAAUGGGGGGAACCCUGAUGCAGCGACGCCGCGUGAGUGAAGAAGUAUUUCGGUAUGUAAAGCUCCAUCAGCAGGGAAGAAGAUGACGGUACCUGACUAAGAAGCCCCGGCUAACUACGUGCCAGCAGCCGCGGUAAUAAGUAGGGGGCAAGCGUUAUCCGGAUUUACUGGGUGUAAAGGGGGCGUAGACGGCAGGGCAAGUCUGGAGUGAAAGCGCGGGGCCCAACCCCGGGACUGCUUUGGAAACUGCCAUGCUAGAGUGCUGGAGAGGUAAGCGGAAUUCGUGGUGUAGCGGUGAAAUGCGUAGAUAUUAGGAGGAACACCGGUGGCGAAGGCGGCUUACUGGACAGUAACUGACGUUGAGGCUCGAAAGCGUGGGGAGCGAACAGGAUUAGAUACCCUAGUAGUC